AUUCUAAUUGCUAAUUGGUUUUUAUUGGCAACAUGACUGGUGAUGUUGGCUUCCACACUAUAAUGAAUAUGCCCCUUGGACUAAUACAACUGCAUAAAGAGUUUAAUAACCUGACGUAUUGACGUUAAGAUCUCCUACAACACUUUGAAAGGUUUAUAUCUCAAAUCGCUCUAUGAUAUUGGAGAACCUAUCACUGGCUUUCAGCUUUUUCUCAACACUUUAAAAAUGCUCUGUUAUAUUCAGUAAUUUUGGGACUGUGAGGUUGUGGACUGUAUUGUCAAAUACUUUUGUAGUUCAACUCCUUCACCAUAAGAUGGCACCAUAACACCAAAUAAUCUUGUAAAGGUGAUGUUUUAUUACUGUGCAGCUAAAUAUUUCUCUUUACAAGUAUUUUCCUCCACAUUACUGUGCCACUUAACUUUCUCCUGGAUUACAACUUCAUUUAUCUUUAAUGAUGAAAGAAAAAAGCAAAACCUCUCCCUUCCUUUAUCCACAAAACCAAUUGUCGCUUUCUUGAAACAACAAAUUGGUUGUUUGAUACAAUCUGCACACAACUCGGAUGGGACGGAAGCGGAAUCUGCAAUUCCCACUUCCCAAACUACUCAAACAAGUCCUCUAACUUUGGACCAAUCUGACAGUGUUCUAGUGGUGUUCCAGUCAUUAAUGGACAAGGCUACUGCACAAAUCACUACUGUUUCUGAGAAAGAUAAAGAAUUGGCAAGACACACAGAUACACUCGAAUCAAGGAUGGACAAUACAAAAAUUGACUUAAUUAAGUAAUUGAAUUAAACAACAGGUUCUGAACCUCCAAUUGAAAUUAGAAUACCUGGAGAACAGGUUUUGUCGAGAUAAGAAAACGAGGAAUUCCAGAAUCUUAUAAGCACUUGGAGUCAGAAUUGCAAGAAUGCUUUACCAUUUACCAUCUCAGUUUCUGCACAUCGAUCAGAUCCCCAGAUCUCACAAGAUCUGCUAUCACUGGGGUUUCCCUUGAAAUUGAUAUUUACACGUAAUGGCAAGUCAUUUUCCCACCCUACACCGAAUAAGACCAAGGAAGCUCUCCAGUCUGCUGGAUGUACUAAUGCCUUACCAACUAAACUGAGUACAGCUCCAUGUACCCUGCAAUCAUCGGGUUGGCCAUCGCCAGAAAGACCUUCUCCUUCACAAUUCCCUUUACCUCAAAGUGCUACAAAGUACAGUGCUCGUUCCAGGGAUCAGCAGCUUCAUUCAAUUUUAGACUUUUCUCUCAUCAUUUCCAGGAAGAAGGAAUGCAUCAAAUCAGCAUGUUAAAUUCAGGAAAUGGCUUUAUUUAUGGCAAGUUUGGUAACAAUGAAAAUUGUCCUCCAAAUGAUUUAUCUGAAGGUCAAGGAGUGGAGGAGAAAGCAAUGGUGUCCUACUGUGGGUCUUUGGAACAGAACCUUAGUAACAUGGCCGCUUUGUAUCUGCAAUGCCUCUCGGAUAAAAUCUCAUUUCUUAUCCAAAUUGUUAUUAACUAAAUUCUAAAAAGGAGAACCCUGAUUGGUCUGCAGGGUCUGGAGGAGACAUAACACGCACUUUGAUAUUCUCUUGAAGUUCUCUGAGGACUUUGCAACAUUAGUAAGCAGUGUAUUGGGAACAACCCUAGUGAGGGAAAAGGGGAGGAUCAUUUUCCAAACCCAGAGAUUAUAUACAUGAAUUAUAUGGGUAGCCUCUCCUCUUAAAGGAGAACCACAGACUAAUCCCUACCUGCAAAGAAAUAUUUAGGGGAAAUAAUAUAUAAACAGUAUUUUGUAUUAUUUUGUGAAGAGACAUGCCUCCCCUUUAAGUGGGAGUGGAAGUUGUACCUGUUGGGCAGAGGAGCAGCCUAUGUGCAAUUUGUCUUAAAUGACUGUGUGUUUCCCACAAACACAUUUGGUCUAAUUUACCCUUUCUCUUGUGGAGAGACAUUUAUCCGCCCCCAAUGUACUCUGGGACAGUGCUGCCUAUCAUACGCCCCUCCUUCAGUGGCAUCCCAUGUGCCGGCCUAUAGACUCACAUAGCAGCACAUCACAAUAAAACCCAGUAGCAGUUUUCUUUAAUACAUUUUUGUAAUUUAUUAUAUAUGUAUUUUUACAAUCUUGGGCUUUUUGUAGUUGAUUUUGCUUUGGGUGUUUGAGGCAUUACACAUUAUUAUACACUUUGGUUCAUUUGCCAAUAUGCAUUACUCCAUUUAGUAACCUCCCCCAGGUAAUUGAAAUCAGUCUCCUCUUAGCACAAAUCCAGUUCCGCUUCCUGCUUCCGGCUGUUCCAUUUCACAUUCCCAAGCAGAGGGGCGGGGCUUAACCCAGAAUGAGAGUCGCUGAAAGCCUUUCACACCCGACUGAGUUCUAUGGAGCGCUGGAGAGCUGAAGCAGGUUUGGACAGCAGGGGGCGCUGCUCUUUCAUUCACUCACUUUUAUUACUGCAGCAGUGAGACUUCCGGAAGCUUUCUCUGUUGGUUCCAAGUUCCGGCCUCUGCCUUGUAUUGUGAAAAAGAAGAAAUCAGUAGAAGGAGGGUCAGAUUGGAGGGGGUUCUCUGGCCUCUGCUGCAGCCACCGCCCCACAUUCAUCCUAACAACCUUGGGCAGAAAACCAGAAAAAUACAAUUACCAGAAAAGGUAAAAAGCAACUCAGACACAGGGGGAAGAUAGAAUCUCCUAGAGCUCCAUGAGGCGUGAGAACCUUGCUUCUGGGGCAGCAUUGCUGAGGCGGGGCAAUGACCAGACGUUGGACCUUCAUGGAGUGACUCGGUCAAAGGUUGAACCUUUUGAGAGGAGCUUGAACUGAUAAUUCUGACUGGCUGAAAAGCACUGCCCUAAGUCUUUCAGGCAUUUCUGGAGUUAAUGGACUGCGUAUUCCCCAUUUUCCAGCAACAAUAUGACAUGUGUGGAGUUAAUGGAAUGCUUAU
Long non-coding RNA from Xenopus tropicalis (tropical clawed frog), 2902 nucleotides. RefSeq lists it as uncharacterized. The transcript is spliced from 4 exons. Lineage: Eukaryota; Metazoa; Chordata; Amphibia; Anura; Pipidae. The record is from RefSeq and is a predicted model, not a curated record.